UUCUAAAGCAUGAACGUCUGGGAGAACCUUCGGGGGAAACCGGCGAUUGGGCGAGUAAUGCGAUCGAACGUACCCCAAUGUGGGGGAUAGCGUCGGGAAACUGGCGGUAAUAUCCCGUGUGCUCUACGGAGGAAGUUGGGAGCGGCGAUCGUCCUAUCAGGUUGUUGGCGGGGUAAAGGCCCACCAAGCCGAAGACGGGUAGCGGGUGUGAGAGCAUGGCCCGCUGCAUCGGGACUGAGACACUGCCCGGACUCCUACGGGAGGCUGCAGCGACGAAUCUUCCGCAAUGCGCGAAAGCGUGACGGAGCAAUGCCGCGUGUAGGAUGAGGGCGCUCUGCGUCGUAAACUACUGUCAGACCCUAGAACCAACGAUCAGGGUCAGAGGAAGGGCCGGCUAAACUCGUGCCAGCAGCCGCGGUAAUACGAGUGGCCCAAGCGUUAAUCGGAAUCACUGGGCUUAAAGCGUGCGCAGGCGGACCUUCAGGCGUCCCGUGAAAUACCCCGGCUCAACCGGGGAAUGGCUGGGCGAACCGUUGGUCUUGAGGCAGGUAGGGGGGUGCAGAACUGUCGGUGGAGCGGUGAAANUCCUA
Molecule: ribosomal RNA, 590 nt
Filed under: uncultured bacterium
Lineage: Bacteria
Description: bacterial SSU rRNA
Rfam family: Bacterial small subunit ribosomal RNA
Source: RNAcentral